UGAGCAAUCUGCCCUUCACAUCGGAAUAACCAUUGGAUACGAUGGCUAAUACCGAAUAUGACUUCGGAUCGCAUGAUCUGAAGUGGA
This 87-nucleotide ribosomal RNA is filed under the name uncultured bacterium. RNAcentral's name for it is "partial 16S ribosomal RNA". The record is from RNAcentral.